GUGCUCACUUCAGCAGCAAAUAUACUAAAAUUGAAAUGAUACAGAGAAGAUUAGCAUGGCCCCUGUGCAAAAAAAAAAAAAAAAAAAUGUGAAGCAUUUGUUCCAUAUUUUU
Small nuclear RNA from Jaculus jaculus (lesser Egyptian jerboa), 112 nucleotides. NCBI's taxonomy places the organism in Eukaryota, Metazoa, Chordata, Mammalia, Rodentia, Dipodidae. The record is from Ensembl.